CGUUUAGGGGUAAACCUGAGAAACCCGAAAGGUCGAAGGAAGAAAUUCAUUCGCGUUUCGUUGUCGACGUAGAGCGGUCGUUGAGACGGUCAAGUACUUGUAUUUGGCUGCUCCUUCAGCUCCUCGAUUUGAUAGCGAACGCGUGCACUUUUCUUCUGGUAGGACGUCGCGAUCCGUUGAGUGUCGGUCUAAGGYUUGAGGUGGUGUCCGUGUAAGUCCUUGUGAUUUAUACGAACCCUUGAUGUCCCGGCCGACUCGCUCGACGGUAUUUUAAUGGUUUGGACCGCUCCYUGUGAGAGCGUUCGACUCAUGACAAGCGUACUAGUUGUUGUUGGUGAUCGGACCUAGUGCCGAUCCUGGCCUCUAGUCACUGUUGGUUGUGAAUGUCUUGAACAGUGUCCACACAUUUCAAUAACCAAUCUGCGACGCUAUAGCUUUGGGUACUUUCAGGACCCGUCUUGAAACACGGACCAAGGAGUCUAGCAUGUACGCGAGUCAUUGGGAUUUUUUACUAAACCUAAAGGCGUAAUGAAAGUGAAAGUUUUCCUUGUGAAAACCAAGGGAAGAUGUGUAUUUGUGAAAGCAAAURUACCGCAUUCCCGGGGCGUCUCAUUCUCAUCGCGAGAAGAGGCGCACCUAGAGCGUACACGCUGGGACCCGAAAGAUGGUGAACUAUGCCUGGU
RNAcentral lists this ribosomal RNA (683 nucleotides) under Microborus camerunus. RNAcentral's name for it is "eukaryotic LSU rRNA". It matches the Rfam family "Eukaryotic large subunit ribosomal RNA", at positions 406 to 841 of the family's 3401-position model. The record is from RNAcentral. Lineage: Eukaryota; Metazoa; Arthropoda; Insecta; Coleoptera; Curculionidae.